ACUUGGAUAGCUUAUUUAGAGCACGACGCUGAAGAUGUCGGGGAGGUGCACUGUACCUUUAAGUG
This 65-nucleotide transfer RNA is filed under the name Ruptitermes arboreus. RNAcentral's name for it is "tRNA-Phe". Lineage: Eukaryota; Metazoa; Arthropoda; Insecta; Blattodea; Termitidae. The record is from RNAcentral.